This 70-nucleotide transfer RNA is filed under the name Cricetulus griseus (Chinese hamster). It matches the Rfam family "tRNA". Rfam says of the family: Transfer RNA (tRNA) molecules are approximately 80 nucleotides in length. Their secondary structure includes four short double-helical elements and three loops (D, anti-codon, and T loops). Lineage: Eukaryota; Metazoa; Chordata; Mammalia; Rodentia; Cricetidae. The record is from Rfam by way of RNAcentral.
GGAGAGAUGGCUCAGUGGUUAAGAGCACUGGAUACUCUUCCAGAAGAUCCAGGUUUGAUUCCUAGCACCA